This 497-nucleotide ribosomal RNA is filed under the name uncultured bacterium. RNAcentral's name for it is "partial 16S ribosomal RNA". It matches the Rfam family "Bacterial small subunit ribosomal RNA", at positions 28 to 507 of the family's 1533-position model. The record is from RNAcentral.
GAUGAACGCUGGCGGCGUGCCUAAUACAUGCAAGUCGAGCGAACGGACGAGAAGCUUGCUUCUCUGAUGUUAGCGGCGGACGGGUGAGUAACACGUGGAUAACCUACCUAUAAGACUGGGAUAACUUCGGGAAACCGGAGCUAAUACCGGAUGAUAUUUUGAACCGCAUGGUUCAAAAGUGAAAGACGGUCUUGCUGUCACUUAUAGAUGGAUCCGCGCUGCAUUAGCUAGUUGGUAAGGUAACGGCUUACCAAGGCAACGAUGCAUAGCCGACCUGAGAAGGUGAUCGGCCACACUGGAACUGAGACACGGUCCAGACUCCUACGGGAGGCAGCAGUAGGGAAUCUUCCGCAAUGGGCGAAAGCCUGACGGAGCAACGCCGCGUGAGUGAUGAAGGUCUUCGGAUCGUAAAACUCUGUUAUUAGGGAAGAACAUAUGUGUAAGUAACUGUGCACAUCUUGACGGUACCUAAUCAGAAAGCCACGGCUAACUACGUG